GACGAACGCUGGCGGCGUGCUUAACACAUGCAAGUCGAACGGAAAGGCCCUGCUUGCAGGGUACUCGAGUGGCGAACGGGCGAGUAACACGUGGGUGAUCUGCCCUGCACUUCGGGAUAAGCCUGGGAAACUGGGUCUAAUACCGGAUAGGAGCCAUUUUUAGUGUGAUGGUUGGAAAGUUUUUUCGGUGUAGGAUGAGCUCGCGGCCUAUCAGCUUGUUGGUGGGGUAAUGGCCUACCAAGGCGGCGACGGGUAGCCGGCCUGAGAGGGUGGACGGCCACAUUGGGACUGAGGGACGGCCCAGACUCCUACGGGAGGCAGCAGUGGGGAAUAUUGCACAAUGGGCGCAGGCCUGAUGCAGCGAGGCCGCGUGGGGGAUGACGGCCUUCGGGUUGUAAACUCCUUUCGCUAGGGACGAAGCUUUUUGUGACGGUACCUAGAGAAGAAGCACCGGCUAACUACGUG
This 465-nucleotide ribosomal RNA is filed under the name uncultured bacterium. Its description in RNAcentral is "partial 16S ribosomal RNA". It matches the Rfam family "Bacterial small subunit ribosomal RNA", at positions 28 to 507 of the family's 1533-position model. The record is from RNAcentral.